Trifolium pratense (red clover) is the source of this 5582-nucleotide long non-coding RNA. RefSeq lists it as uncharacterized. NCBI's taxonomy places the organism in Eukaryota, Viridiplantae, Streptophyta, Magnoliopsida, Fabales, Fabaceae. The transcript has 6 exons. The record is from RefSeq and is a predicted model, not a curated record.
ACGGUUAACCUUGAACCAAGUUUGUAUAUGGUUCGAUUAUUCGUAUAGUUCCAAAAUUUUUACACAGCUCAAUCACGGUGGGGAUUGAAACCCUAAAGACAGUGGAGAAAUCAUGCAGUCUCGUAGUUCAUGCUUCUCCUCAACUGAGAUCAAAGAAACUCUUGAAAGAAACGAUGUCGUCUCAUCAAAGAUUGAAGCAUUGAAAUCACCGACUAAACCGAGGCUAUUCACACUUGUGCUAUUAAGUUUUCGGAGGUGGCUAUAGCACUGUUGUGCAUUUGUUGAUGGAUUUCUUGGGGGAUACUAAUGUCGCGUCUGCUACGGAUGUGGUUGUUUUCGUGCCAGAUAUUAUUGAGACUAACCUGAAGCUGCAUGUUUCUAUUAUCACUAGGCUUUUGGAUACUUUUUUUUUUAUCAAAUCCAUGCUGCAAGGGUUUGUUCUUGUGCUCUAUGGAUCAUUGGCGACCUUCCCUUUUACACCAUCUAUGAGGAUGGAGGAGGUCAGGAGACAUGGAAAGCCGUGCAGCAGGUGAACUCGACCACUGUGUCUUCUAGGAGGCUCGAGAUUUGCGCAGAUGGGACCUAUGCUACCCAAAGUGCUGCUCUUGAGACUGCCGUGUCACCUCCUACCCUUGUACAAUGCUUGUUGUCUUCUAUUGGGAACAUGAGAUCAUUGAGGCUUUCGGGUGAUUUAUUCCUCGAGGAAGUUGUUGGAUGCACCAUGACAAAGCUUAUCGUAAGGUUGGAAGAGGUCCAGAUCUCAAAAGUUGAAGUUAAUAAGGCAACUUCUGAUAGGAUUCAUUAUGAGAAAGUCCCAAAUAGAUAGGCGGAGUACUGAGCUGACAUGUUAGUCUGAGAGAGUGAGAGCAUAUACAUGGGAGAGGUAGUAUAUGAGGUGUGUGAGAGACUGAGAGGGUUAGUGGGGGAUUAUUCAGUAUCAUAUUGUAUUAGAUCCUUAGGGUUGGGCAAAGGGAGGAUUCUUUCUUCAUUUUAGUAGCUUUUCUCUGGGAUUAUAACGAUUCAAUCUCUGUAAUAGUUUCUUUUUAUCAUUAAUAAUAUUUUUCUCUUCUUUCUUGAAUUUGUGUUCCUAACAACUUCACAGUCCUUGUUGAUCAUGGUAUCAAUGUUGCAGCUUGGUCAGUCGUCAGUUCUUCCAUGUCCAAUUGAUAUUUGAUAAUGAUUCUCAUGACAGGAUAGUCCGUUGCAUUAGAUUGUUGUACAAUACUGGGGAUGAGAUAAGGAAGAUGUGGCUGGAAUUUUGUAGGCAGAGCUUUGUGAAAAUGCAUGCAGAUAAGCAACACUUUGAGACCGAGGAGAUUAAGACAAAGGCUCAAAUUUUACCAUUUCAAGAGAAGAAAGGGUAUGAGCCAACUUGAGCUGGAAGAUGAGGUUUAGGACGAUCUUAAAUGUGCUACUGGAGAGUUUACAAAGGAUGCAAAUGAUUCAAAUAAACUCAAUCACAUUCUUCAGGUCACUGGACUUGGUGAUCCUGUUUAUGCUUGAAACAUAUGCAACAGUGCAUCAUUACGACAUUGUCCUUGAUGCUGUCAUCAACGGAACCAAGGAAACUCUCCAGAACUUAUGUUUGGCAUUAGCAACUAUGGGUGAUCUCAGACUUGUUGAGCGUCCACAAAACUAUACUCUAGAUUCAGAAUCAAGUAAACAGAUUAAGGGCCAAUAUCAUAGUUUCUUCUACUGAAACUGGAGUUAUAUUUGGUAUCAUAUUUUAUGAGAUAUCUUCAUAUGUUCUUAGGAGAAUGGUUCUGGAAGUUCUCAUCGACAAAGGAACACCGGCACUAUCAACUGAGAUCAAAGAAACUCUCGAAGGAAACAACGUCUGAUCAAAGAUUGAAGCAUUCAACAAAUCAAUAAUGCUUCUCCUCAACGGCGAAACAAUUCGUCAACUAUUCAUCACCGUCAUUCGUUACGCUCUAACUUGCGAAGAUCACACACACCGUUCAAAAACUUCUCCUUGAAAUCACCGUCUACACCGAGAGGCUAUUCAUACUCGUGCUAUUAAGUUUCCGGAGGUGGCUAUAGCACUGUUGUGCAUUUGUUGAUGGAGUUCUUGGGGGAUACCAAUGUCGCGUCUGCUACGGAUGUGGUUGUUUUCGUGCCAGAUAUUAUUGAGACUAACCUGAAGCUGCAUGUUUCUAUUAUCAUUAGGCUUUUGGAUACUUUUUAUCAAAUCCAUGCUGCAAGGGUUUGUCCUUGUGCUCUAUGGAUAAUUGGUGACCUUCCCUUUUACACCAUCUAUGAGGAUGGAGGAGGUCAGGAGACAUGGAAAGCCGUGCAGCAGAUGAACUUGACCACUGUGUCUUCUAGGAGGCUUGAGAUUCUUGCAGUCGCAGAUGGGACCUAUGCUACCCAAAGUGCUGCUCUUGCGACUUGCUCAUCUGGCAUUUCUUCAAUUGUUCAAUCUGUGUAUACUUAUAAUUCUUCAGGGUAUGAGCCAACUUGAGCUGGAAGAUGAGGUUCAGGACGAUCUCAAACGUGCUACUGGAGAGUUUACAAAGGAUGCGGAUGAUUCAAAUAAACUCAAUCACAUUCUUCAGGUCAUUGGACUUCCUCUUCACCCUCGCCUUAACACACCCAUGAAAGUAUUUUGAAAAAUACUCACACACUCACACGCUUAUUGAAAAAAAAGAAGAAAACUCACUCACACAAGAAGGAACUCAAGAACCCUAACUCUUCAAUGUUGGCGUCAAUCCAUUCAUUCCUAUCCAUUCAAUCCCUAAAUCAUUUUCUACAAUCACUUCAUCGAGAAAUAGUUGACGUGACUAUACUCGUUUUCAGCUGCAGUGCAGAAGAUGAUAAUCAGUUAACGAAGGUUGAGGGAGAUGGAGGUUGUUUGCGGAGUGUGAAAUGGGGAAGUUAAUGGACAUCUAUCUGCAUAUCAACAGCCCGUGUCAUUACAAUUUCAGUGUUCAAUUGGAAUUUGGUGAUGUUUGCAAUUUGGUCGGUCUUGCAUAUGAGCUUCCUUUCCUUAUAUGUUCUUGCAACUGAAGCAACUUAUAAGUGUCAAGUAAGACCGUUUACUGACUACCAUAUAUAUAUAACGUCCAAGGUAACAUUUCAUAUCACCAUGUUCUUAUAAAAAAUAAAAAAAUCAUACCACCAUGUGAUUGUGCUUCUGUUUUUGUUUUGUGGUUCGAAGCACAAUUUCAUUUUGAUUUUGCAAUACCUGUUAUAUGCUUAAAUAAAACCCAAUUUCAUAUUAUUAGAAAAUAUAUUUUCCAACACAUAUGUAUUAUUGAUUGCUUCUUGUGAGAUUUGGGAGUCCAAAUUUGAAAUUUGUUUUGCACAUGAGCUUUUGCAUAGAGAAAUUGAGAAAGUUAGUGAAGAGGAUAGUGAGAAUGAAUCAUUGUUUUCAUUGAUUCAUUAAGUGGUACAAUCAACUAGUAUAUAUAUACAAUUGUUAGAAGAGUAUUAUGGAGGGAAAAGCAGUUAAAACAAACUUAACUAACUAUAACCAACUUGAGACUACUUCUAACUAACUAGAUAUUACAUAGUUGAUUUUGACUAAUGUGGAUUACUUGUUAUUCAAGUUACUGAAUCUAUUAUUUUGUAUGCCCAAUCGUAACUGAUAUUGAUACCUUCAGCCUUGAGGUAUAAAAACUGACCAUAACUCUCUUAGAUAUAUCCCAACAUGUAUUUCAAUUAAUUAGCAUCAAUCACAUUUCAAGUUUUCUUUUAUUCAUUGACCUUAUUUUACUUUGUGUAACAUAUGUAUGUUUGAACUUCUACUAUACUGGAUUCAUAUUUCACUUUUCUUAGUUGCUUUUGUUUUGCAUCCUUUGAAUGUUGGGUGGAUUAAUUUCUUCUUGGAAUUUUAACCCUUUAUUCUUCUUUCUCCUUUUUUCUCAAUCAAUUUGAUGACAAGUAUUUUCCUAAUACUGGUUUUAGUUGCGGGAACAAGAAAAUAACAAAUACUAUUAUGAUAAGACAGAUGAACGAGACCCCUCUUCAAGUGUCCAUUUGAAUUAGGAUGUUAUAACUCAGAUGAGGGUGUCCAUUUCAAUAAGAAGCUUCUAUUUUGAAGGUUGUUAAUUUUACUGUCUCAUUUGGUAUAUCAAUACCUUAUAUUUGUAAAUUUUCUCGAGGAAAUUUUCUUGAAUAGUCGGUCCAUUUAUAGCUUUUGAUGUUCAAUAUCCAACAAAAGGUUUGUGGUUGACUCUUUCAUUAUCUAACAAGAGCAGUGUAAUAUGUUUCCUGUUAUAGUUACCCGUUCAAAAAAUAUGAUCCACAGUUCAGCCCAAACAAAAGUUUAGAAAAAAAUUCAUCUCUUCUGAGUUCUAACUCCUCAUUCUCUUUAAUUAAAUCUUUUUUAUUUUAUUAUUAGAUUUUUUUUUCCAGAUUCAUGUUGUAGGCUUUCUACCAUCUAUCAAACGAUAUCCACUUGGAUGGAACUUUGAGUAAUAUUGAGACCUUCUAAGCCCACCUCUGCAAACUCUCAAAUGAGGCAGUUGAUUCUAUCAAGCUCUCAUGCUUACAAAGAUGCCAUUAAUUCCAACUAUGGCUUGGAAAUUGAGAAAAUGGGGAGGGGGGGGAUAGAUAUGACAAUUUCUAUGAAUAUUUCAGUUUCCAAGUUCAAGAAAUAUAUGCACAGUGAAGGUAUAACAAUAAAAGAAACAAUUCAAGUUAAUAAAAAGUUGAAACUUAACACAAUCUUAGAGUUAUAUCUUUCACGUCCAAUAAAAUUUUGUCUAAUAGGGUGUUUGUUGGUCCCUUUGAUUUCAUUAGUGUCUACAAUGAUGGAAAGUCAUCCUUUCAUUUAGUGAACAUAUAGUGAGAAUUAUGUUCUUUUCUUUCUUUUUUUCUAUAGAAAAACUGUGUGCUCAAUGCUCUUUUGUUAUGAAAUUCAUGCUCAGGUGCGUAUACACAUGCUAACACAAUAUAUAUAUAUAUAUGAACAACACUGAUGUUACCAAAAUACGUAAGAUUUUAUUCUUCCCCAUUCAAAAACCUAAUUAAAUUUUUACAAUCAGAUUCAACAAAUACUUGCGUGAAACAACACUGAUGUGCGAACUCCAUAGCCUUCAAAACUGCGUAAGCUUCAGCUGUCGCAGCAUCAUCGAAACCUUUGGUUGACCACGAAGCAGCUGCAAGGAUGAUUCCGUGUUGUUUCGAAGUGCUGCGCUGAGACCCCAAACACCGUUACAGGUUUAUCUGUCAAGAACUUGCCAAUGAAGCUGUUUUUGCAAGCUUCAAGGCCUUCUUGAGCAUCUGAAGUAUUGUAAGCAUAUACUAUGCAGUUGCUUAGUUUGUGGCAAGGAAAGACUCAAAACUAUGGUAGCAUGACUAACUAGAACUGUCUUAGUAAUUUGCUCUUUUUUUUUUCUUUUCAGAUGUUAGUUGUUGAAAUUUUUAAGAAAGCCUAAUCAAAAGCUUGGGUAUAGCAUAAGUAAAGGUUAUAAAGAUUUGCUAUGCCAUGAUAGAAGAUGGGUUGCUAUGGUGGCAUGAAACCUGUCUAAAUACUUACAAUUAAAGGUGUCAAUUUUUAUCUCUUUUUAUUCCAUAUAUUAUUUUAUCUAUCAUGGAUAGAGAAUACUUAGAUUGAUUCGAAUGCAUAAAUCAUUAAU